RNAcentral lists this ribosomal RNA (201 nucleotides) under Salmonella enterica. RNAcentral's name for it is "partial 16S ribosomal RNA". It matches the Rfam family "Bacterial small subunit ribosomal RNA", at positions 1 to 209 of the family's 1533-position model. The record is from RNAcentral. Lineage: Bacteria; Pseudomonadati; Pseudomonadota; Gammaproteobacteria; Enterobacterales; Enterobacteriaceae.
AAAUUGAAGAGUUUGAUCAUGGCUCAGAUUGAACGCUGGCGGCAGGCCUAACACAUGCAAGUCGAACGGUAACAGGAAGCAGCUUGCUGCUUUGCUGACGAGUGGCGGACGGGUGAGUAAUGUCUGGGAAACUGCCUGAUGGAGGGGGAUAACUACUGGAAACGGUGGCUAAUACCGCAUAACGUCGCAGGACCAAAGAGG